GAUGAACGCUAGCUACAGGCUUAACACAUGCAAGUCGCGGGGCAGCAUGGGGGUUGCUUGCAAUCCCCGAUGGCGACCGGCGCACGGGUGAGUAACGCGUAUCCAACCUGCCCUUCACCACGGGAUAACCCGGCGAAAGUCGGACUAAUACCGUAUGUUGUCCAUUGACGGCCUCCGAUUUGGACGAAAGGUUUGGCGGUGGAUGCGGUGGAGGCGGCUGAUUAGCUGGACGGCGGGGUGACGGCCCACCGUGGCGACGAUCGGUAGGGGUUCUGAGAGGAAGGUCCCCCACACUGGAACUGAGACACGGUCCAGACUCCUACGGGAGGCAGCAGUGAGGAAUAUUGGUCAAUGGGCGUAAGCCUGAACCAGCCAAGUAGCGUGCAGGAUGACGGCCCUAUGGGUUGUAAACUGCUUUUAUGCGGGGAUAAAGUGGCCCACGUGUGGGUUUUUGCAGGUACCGCAUGAAUAAGGACCGGCUAAUUCCGU
RNAcentral lists this ribosomal RNA (489 nucleotides) under uncultured bacterium. RNAcentral describes it as "partial 16S ribosomal RNA". It matches the Rfam family "Bacterial small subunit ribosomal RNA", at positions 28 to 506 of the family's 1533-position model. The record is from RNAcentral.